UACGGAGGGUGCAAGCAUUAAUCGGAUUUAUUGGGCGUAAAGGGCGCGUAGGCGGGGUUGUCAGUCAGAUGUGAAAUCCCGGGGCUCAACCCCGGAACUGCAUUUGAUACUGCAUCUCUUGAGGGUAGGCGGAGAAAACGGAAUUCCACAUGUAGCGGUGAAAUGCGUAGAUAUGUGGAAGAACACCGGUGGCGAAGGCGGUUUUCUAGCUUAUUCCUGACGCUGAAGCGCGAAAGCAAGGGGAGCAAACAGG
Molecule: ribosomal RNA, 253 nt
Filed under: uncultured bacterium
Lineage: Bacteria
Description: partial 16S ribosomal RNA
Rfam family: Bacterial small subunit ribosomal RNA
Source: RNAcentral